Nelumbo nucifera (sacred lotus) is the source of this 107-nucleotide non-coding RNA. The record is from Rfam. NCBI's taxonomy places the organism in Eukaryota, Viridiplantae, Streptophyta, Magnoliopsida, Proteales, Nelumbonaceae.
AUUUGAUGAUAGGGGCAGCUUGCACAUAAUUUCUUAAAACAUUCCCAGUAUUCAUGUAAGGAUUCCCCGUUGUACUGCCUUACACUACAGAUUUCCUUUCUUAUGUU